This 571-nucleotide long non-coding RNA is filed under the name Androctonus crassicauda. Lineage: Eukaryota; Metazoa; Arthropoda; Arachnida; Scorpiones; Buthidae. The record is from RNAcentral.
GCUAAUAAGGCCGUUAAGCGCGUCAUUUGCGAUAUAAAGCUAAUUCUACCGGGACGGUUAGAAGUUAUGCAAAUUUUUUUUUUUUGUUUUUUUUUUUCAUUCUUACAGAUGUAUCCGAGAUGUCAAAAUGAAUGAAAUUUUCAGCCAAAUAGCGUGUAAAUUCUUAAAAAGAUCGUUUCUUCUGCUUAAUUGGUUCCGGUUAUUUCGGGAAAAACAAUUAAUAAAAAAAGAAUGGUAUCGGAAUAGGAAGUGUCUAGGGCAAUCGGGUGCAUCUCCUGGUUGCAACGUGGACUCAGCCCGACAGCUCUUCAUUUCGGGUCUUGUCUUCGCUGACUAUCAGAGCGAGGAGGCACCUAUGGGAACCCAACAUAUGCGGACGAAAGGGAAUUUAUGGCAUUGCAACUUUAUUUCUUGGUAAAAAUAGCGUUUGAUAAAGAUGCAUUUUAACGAGAAAGAAGGACGGUUAUGUACUCCGGAAGGUAAUUUAAUCUGGUUAACGUUUAACACUGACUCGAUGUCUUUUUUUUUUUUUUUUUUAUUCGUUGUAGCUGACUCACUGGCACGUGUUAUC